This is a long non-coding RNA of Biomphalaria glabrata, 2147 nucleotides long. RefSeq lists it as uncharacterized. Lineage: Eukaryota; Metazoa; Mollusca; Gastropoda; Planorbidae. The record is from RefSeq and is a predicted model, not a curated record. The transcript is spliced from 2 exons.
GAUGUAAACAUCAACCUUUUUGAAUUUAUUUACUAAACAUUUUCGUCAACUUAUACAACUGUUUCAAUAUUUUUUUGAAACUGUAAGCAACAAGCUUAUCGUAUCAUGAGUUUUUCACCAAGAGUUAAGUUGUUGUUUUUAACACUUGAAACAUGAAGUUAUCCACUUAACUGUCAUCCGGAAAUUCGUCAGGUUUGUUGGCAACUUUGAUAAUAAUUCUGUCGAUGCGCUGGUUUCACGACGUUAGGGAAUUAUUGCGAAGCGUGAUUGUACUUUCUGUGUCUGUGUUUGUGUGUUUAGAUCCGUGAUAUAGAAACCUUAUUAUACUCUUGUCUAGUUUCAUGAGUCGCUUUAAAAAAAUGUUUUAAUUGUUGUUCGAAGUGACAAUAAUUUUAUUAAUUUUCACAAUGGAAAAGAUUGUCUUGGAGUGAAGUAAUUCGGUAUAUUUCCCUGGUUUGUCUAUGGCUGUAAAAUGUCAACGAAAUAAGGGGGCGUACUAUUAAAAGUAUUUUCGGAGCCUGCAGCUAUGCCAGUGACAAAGACAAAAUCACGCCGCGUUGUAAAUUGACUUUAGAUCGUAUGCAAUUGUUUAAGUUUUGGUCAACACGUGAGUCUGAAGUCACGUCCCAGUCAUUCUACACCAGCAACAGAUCUGGGCUGUAAGUCUUAGGAUGUCAAUCUACACAUAUUUAUGCAGGAAACAACACCAGCAACAGAUCUGGGCUUUUUCGAGGUCUCAAAUGACCCAUGGCAAAUCAUCGUUCUUCCCCACGAGGGUCGUGACGCACAGGCUGAGAACCGCUGAUCUAUGAGUUUAGGCUUUAAACUGACCUGAACACACUACUUGUUAGACUAACAUGGACUGAAUGUUGUCAUCAGGCCAUCUUAUUAUUUGUAAGCAUUUUUUGUACUGGUUUUUGUCUACGUCAAGUAUACACCUGCACUAGAAUGUUUCAUUGUUAAAUUAUUUGAUUUGCUGUAAUAAUAAGAACUACAGUAUAUUUGUGUUAUGACUUGAAACCUUCUUUUAUACAUAUGAUCUGUUAUGAUUUUGUUUUAAAAAUAAUAUGAAAUGUCAAACUAAUUCUGAAUGAGAUCAUUUGCGAUAACAAUAAAUUUAUUGAUUGCAUUAUUAGCUCUACAUUACAAAAUAAUUAUGUAUUCCGAAACAAGACUUUAGUCUAAUAAUGUUUAAUCCAAACAUAACUAUACUUGUUGUUGAGAAUAAAAAUUCAUGGCCCAUAAUUUACCUCCAACAUUUAUUAACAGCUAUCGCUUGUUUGCACUAAGAAUUAGAUUUACUUCAUUGUUUCAAGUGGAAUUUUUAUGUAUUGCAAUCUGAAUACUAGAUGUCUGUUUAUAGUUUCAGUUUUACUUUCCAUGGAUUAAAAAUGAAAUAAAUCUUUCUCUUACAUUCUCUCUUUCUUUCUGUCACUCUUUCACUCUAUCUUACAUUCUCCCUGUAUCUUUCUCUGAAAUUUCAUUUGACAAAAAUAACAAGCCAAGUGUCUAUACUGUUUUCUUAUUUUCUGUAAUGUUUAGGAUAAUUCGUACAAAAGACAACAACACUAGAGCAGUAUACAGAAGCCUAAUUCAUAAACUGCUGGUAGUGUGUAUACGUAUGUUACCUAUGAGAAUGUUGUUCACGUUGGCAUCUAUAGUGUUGUGGUUAUGCUCAGGUGGACAAUUGUCAAACUAAACUUCCAUUUUUGGUCUAAUAAAAUUAUCUUAUUUUAUCUUAUCUUGAUUACCUCUAAAAUGUGGGAUUCAUAACAAAGAAAGCCCUACAGUGGGUAUUUUUCUGACUAACAGAUUUUAUUUAUAGAAGCACGCCUGUGUUAAUGUUAACUUGCGUUAAUAAAAAUGAGGCCUGUGUUAAUGUUUACUUGCGUUUAUACAAAAUCUGCAAACAUUUGCAAUAAUAUGUUGGCUAAUGUGUCAUCCAAACUAUAGCGCUGCUUGGACAGUCUUUAAAAAAAGUGCGUUGAAAACCAGGCAUACAACUUGUGACACAACCCUGACUAUGUUGAUUUUGUCAACUAAUAUAUCUCAGCAAAGCUGGAAAAACGUUAGAAGUCAGUCGCGAUGUUUCACGGUGACUGGCUUUAUCUAUCAACUUUCACGAACUUGAGUUUUACCUUCACAUA